GGCGCCGUGUGGCACAGUUUCCGGUUAAAAGCGCGCCUGUCUAGUAAAAUCAGGAGUUUACGAGUUCGAAUCUCGUCGGCGCCU
Molecule: non-coding RNA, 84 nt
Organism: Trichonephila inaurata madagascariensis
Lineage: Eukaryota; Metazoa; Arthropoda; Arachnida; Araneae; Nephilidae
Source: the annotation of a GenBank genome assembly